RNAcentral lists this non-coding RNA (182 nucleotides) under Verrucomicrobiota bacterium. RNAcentral's name for it is "Verrucomicrobia bacterium 6S RNA". It matches the Rfam family "6S / SsrS RNA". From Rfam's summary of the family: E. coli 6S RNA was the first non coding RNA to be sequenced, but its function was unknown until recently. It consists of 184 nucleotides that fold into an extended hairpin structure with a large single-stranded internal bulge. The record is from RNAcentral. Lineage: Bacteria; Pseudomonadati; Verrucomicrobiota.
AUUUCCCUGCCCUGCGCGUGAUGUUCCGACUAAAUCCUUGAACCGUAGUUAUACGAUCCCGGGACACAAGUUGCGGUUGUGGCCGACAGGCCUUUACUGGAAGUCGAAAGCAACCCGGCCCGUCCCACAUGUUACAAAACAUGUUCAUAGGAUAUGUCACACACGGCAAGGGUGGGGGCUAU